ACUCCUACGGGAGGCAGCAGUGAGGAAUAUUGGUCAAUGGACGCAAGUCUGAACCAGCCAUGUCGCGUGCAGGAAGACUGCCCUAUGGGUUGUAAACUGCUUUUAUACGGGAAGAAAUAUAGCUACGUGUAGUUAUUUGCCGGUACCGUAUGAAUAAGCAUCGGCUAACUCCGUGCCAGCAGCCGCGGUAAUACGGAGGAUGCGAGCGUUAUCCGGAUUCAUUGGGUUUAAAGGGUGCGUAGGCGGAAGUAUAAGUCAGGGGUGAAAGUUUGUGGCUCAACCAUAAAAUUGCCUUUGAUACUGUAUUUCUUGAGUACAUUUGAGGUAGGCGGAAUGUGUUGUGUAGCGGUGAAAUGCUUAGAUAUAACACAGAAACACCGAUUGCGAAGGCAGCUUACUAAAACUGUAAACUGACGCUGAUGCACGAAAAAGCGUGGGGA
Molecule: ribosomal RNA, 440 nt
Filed under: uncultured bacterium
Lineage: Bacteria
Description: bacterial SSU rRNA
Rfam family: Bacterial small subunit ribosomal RNA
Source: RNAcentral